Non-coding RNA from Rattus norvegicus (Norway rat), 1520 nucleotides. The record is from RefSeq and is a predicted model, not a curated record. NCBI's taxonomy places the organism in Eukaryota, Metazoa, Chordata, Mammalia, Rodentia, Muridae.
AAAAACAACUGUGCCCUCUCAAAAUUUUGCUUUGUAAUUAGGAAAUGAAUGAUAUAAAACCUUUGACAUCCAGGAACCAUAAGAACAGGGAAGUCCAGAUGCUUCUGUGAAGCUUCCAGCUCUUGAUUCCCAUAUGUGUAAGUCUCAGAUCAAGUCUAUCUCUUCAGCGAUACCACUCCAACCCUUCCAAGGGCUCCCUGAACUUUUCAAAGUUCCACUUAUUUUUCCUUUUUUUUCAUACAAAGACAGAAGGUCAGCUUCUUUCUCCCCAUCUCUGAUCUCUUUAUCCUUUUUGUUCUCACUCCCAAAUGGCUGUUUACUCUGAAUUAGUGGCCAAUUAGCAAACCGGAGAGUUACUGAGGGAAUAUGUGAGAGGCAGUUCCUGUCAGGACAGUAAUUGUUACAUCACAGAAGAAGCUAGGGCUCUCCUAGUUACAACAAAUUUGUCAUGGAGGUCCUAUUUAUGAUGUCACUGAGAACGGCCAUCUCCUACAUGCUAAACAGCUUUCCUUACAUUUACCAGAUUCGAAGGUGUCCUUUCCAGUUCAAGGUAAACUGGAGGUUCACUUGGGAUGCAAUGAAGAGCCCCUGACAAGCAUAUUCUUCAAAGCCUCCCAUGGUGUAACUGAAGAUACGAUAUGUGAAGUAGCCCUAGCUUGCCUGCUCAAGAAAGGAUUACAAGAGCUGAAGACAUUAUCAACCCCAUCAGAAGAAUAAUGCAAAUGAACAAGAACCUUCUGGUACUAUAAAGAUAUUCAAAGACUGUACAUGGACAGACCUAUUGCUCCAACUGCAUGUGUGGCAGAGGAUGGCAUUGUUGGACACCAAAGGAAGGAGAGGCCUUUGGUUCUCCAUAGGUUUCACUCCCAGUUCAAGGAAAUUUCAACGGGUAGUAAGGGUGGUUUAAGUGUAAAGGAAAGGAAACAUUUAGGUCUCUUACGGAGAGGAAACUGGGAAUGGAAAUAACAUUUAAAUAUAGAUAUAGAAAUAUCCAAAAAGUAUUAAAAUUAGCUUAAAAUUAAAAAAAAAUGAAAGAAAUAAAAGUAAAUAAAACUGCAAGGUAAUCAGACAUAUUGAUUCAUAAAUCUAGAGGGACACUGUCAGGGAAUGGUAGUCAGCAUAACACUAGUGGAAAGACUGAGAUGAUGAACUCUCAACUAGAAGUAUUUCUCUCUCCCAGAUAUCUGUGUCAGACACAAACUGCGAUGUAGGAAUCAAAAACAUGGAGGAGUUUACUAUGAGCUGAGGAUACAAUACUUGUCUUUCCCUCUUUCCUUGGGACGUUUUCCUUCUGGGAGAAAAAAUAAAACCCAUGCACUCUCAGAAAGAAAAAAAAACAAAAAACAAAAACAAAAACAAAAAAAAAAAAAACAACCAAAAAAAAAACUGUACCCGUCCUAACACCUGGCUUUUGUAAUAAUGAAAUUAAUGAUAAUAAAAUCUCUGACUUCCAGGAACCAUAACAAACAAGGAAAUCCAGAUGCUACUAAAAGGCUACCACUUCCUCAAUCCCAUAUGUG